UCCGCGCCGUAAACGAUGAGGACUAGAUGUUGGGGGGGUUAAACUCCUUAGUGUCGCAGCUAACGUAUUAAGUCCUCCGCCUGGGGAGUACGGCCGCAAGGUUAAAACUCAAAGGAAUUGACGGGGGCCCGCACAAGCGGUGGAGCAUGUGGUUUAAUUCGAUGCAACGCGAAGAACCUUACCUGCCCUUGACAUCCUCGGAAUCCUGCAGAGAUGCGGGAGUGCCUUCGGGA
RNAcentral lists this ribosomal RNA (233 nucleotides) under uncultured bacterium. RNAcentral describes it as "partial 16S ribosomal RNA". It matches the Rfam family "Bacterial small subunit ribosomal RNA", at positions 794 to 1025 of the family's 1533-position model. The record is from RNAcentral.